This 424-nucleotide ribosomal RNA is filed under the name Verrucomicrobiota bacterium. Its description in RNAcentral is "Verrucomicrobia bacterium partial 16S ribosomal RNA". It matches the Rfam family "Bacterial small subunit ribosomal RNA", at positions 355 to 776 of the family's 1533-position model. The record is from RNAcentral. Lineage: Bacteria; Pseudomonadati; Verrucomicrobiota.
UGAGGAAUAUUGGUCAAUGGACGCAAGUCUGAACCAGCCAAGUAGCGUGCAGGAUGACGGCCCUAUGGGUUGUAAACUGCUUUUAUAUGGGGAUAAAGUGGGGAACGUGUUCCCUUUUGGAGGUACCAUAUGAAUAAGGACCGGCUAAUUCCGUGCCAGCAGCCGCGGUAAUACGGAAGGUUCGGGCGUUAUCCGGAUUUAUUGGGUUUAAAGGGAGCGUAGGCCGUUUGGUAAGCGUGUUGUGAAAUGUAGGAGCUCAACUUCUAGAUUGCAGCGCGAACUGUCAGACUUGAGUGCGCACAACGUAGGCGGAAUUCAUGGUGUAGCGGUGAAAUGCUUAGAUAUCAUGAAGAACUCCGAUUGCGAAGGCAGCUUAAGGGAGCGCAACUGAAGCUGAAGAUCGAAGGUGCGGGUAUCGAACAGG